Molecule: non-coding RNA, 64 nt
Filed under: Pseudorhodoferax sp. Leaf267
Lineage: Bacteria; Pseudomonadati; Pseudomonadota; Betaproteobacteria; Burkholderiales; Comamonadaceae
Description: Betaproteobacteria toxic small RNA
Rfam family: Betaproteobacteria toxic small RNA
About the family: Overexpression in amino aid rich medium attenuates growth, suggesting role in repressing amino acid intake and metabolism.
Source: Rfam by way of RNAcentral
UGUCUCCUCCACCCUCCGAAAAGGUGGAUUAGCCUCCGGGUCGCAAGACCCGGGGGCUUUUUUC